RNAcentral lists this ribosomal RNA (429 nucleotides) under Chloroflexota bacterium. RNAcentral describes it as "Chloroflexi bacterium partial 16S ribosomal RNA". It matches the Rfam family "Bacterial small subunit ribosomal RNA", at positions 355 to 776 of the family's 1533-position model. The record is from RNAcentral. Lineage: Bacteria; Bacillati; Chloroflexota.
UAGGGAAUCUUCGGCAAUGGACGAAAGUCUGACCGAGCAACGCCGCGUGAGUGAAGAAGGUUUUCGGAUCGUAAAACUCUGUUGUUAGAGAAGAACAAGGACGUUAGUAACUGAACGUCCCCUGACGGUAUCUAACCAGAAAGCCACGGCUAACUACGUGCCAGCAGCCGCGGUAAUACGUAGGUGGCAAGCGUUGUCCGGAGUUAUUGGGCGUAAAGCGGGCGCAGGCGGUUUCUUAAGUCUGAUGUGAAAGCCCCCGGCUCAACCGGGGAGGGUCAUUGGAAACUGGGAAACUGGAGUGCAGAAGAGGAGAGUGGAAUUCCAUGUGUAACGGGGAAAUGCGUAGAUAUAUGGAGGAACACCAGUGGCGAAGGCGGCUCUCUGGUCUGUAACAGACGCUGAGGCUCGAAAGCGUGGGGAGCAAACAGG